Molecule: ribosomal RNA, 253 nt
Filed under: uncultured bacterium
Lineage: Bacteria
Description: partial 16S ribosomal RNA
Rfam family: Bacterial small subunit ribosomal RNA
Source: RNAcentral
UACGAAGGGGGCUAGCGUUGCUCGGAAUCACUGGGCGUAAAGGGUGCGUAGGCGGGUCUUUAAGUCAGGGGUGAAAUCCUGGAGCUCAACUCCAGAACUGCCUUUGAUACUGAAGAUCUUGAGUGCGGGAGAGGUGAGUGGAACUGCGAGUGUAGAGGUGAAAUUCGUAGAUAUUCGCAAGAACACCAGUGGCGAAGGCGGCUCACUGGCCCGAUACUGACGCUGAGGCGCGAAAGCCAGGGGAGCAAACGGG